RNAcentral lists this ribosomal RNA (2913 nucleotides) under Triticum aestivum (bread wheat). RNAcentral describes it as "partial small subunit ribosomal RNA". Lineage: Eukaryota; Viridiplantae; Streptophyta; Magnoliopsida; Poales; Poaceae. The record is from RNAcentral.
GAGAGUGUGUGCGCGCACUUGGGAUCGGUUAGGUCUAGGGAGGGGCGGGGGUGAGGAGAGGGGGCUAGGUCUAGGGAGGCCGCCUCGAGCAGCGGCAAGGGGUGCGGGAGGAGGAGAGCGGGGAGGGGAAGGGUGAGGGGUGUCGCUGCCAGCUGCCGGAGUGGCGCCGCGUUUUAGGGGGUGGUGGUACUUCGGUCGCUCCUACAAGGGCACGGCCGGCGACCACAGGGGCGGCGAUGGCGCCCGGGAGCGGCGGCGCGGCGUGCAGAGGCACGCCGCCGACGGUACCGGUAGCUGCAACGACGCGCACCACGCCACGUACCGGUUCCUCGCCGCCCACGCCUACCACCGCUUCGUCUAGGUCGCCCUCGACCGCCUGUACAACUGGGCGCUGGGGCAGUACGUCGCGCGGCAGGAGGGGCUCCGGCGGGAGCCGCGGCUGGUGAUGGAGAGGAGGGAGUGGUGGCAGCGGCUGGAGCUCGAGAGGUUGCUGGAGGUCCACACGUUCCACAUACACAGGCACAAGCCCCUGCUCUCCCCCUUCUUCCACCGGUACCGGCCCGAGUUCCUGAUCUGGUUCAUGCAGUCCUCGGUCUAACCGUUCGCCUACUUCGACGCGGAGUGCGGGCUCUAUGCCAAGUAGCUUCUGCUCAGGUACGUCGCGCCUUCGUCCUAAGAAUGAUAUGACCUGUUUGAUUUCCUCGUUUCCCUCGUCUCUCUUCCUACAAGGGCACGGCCGGCGACCACAAUGGCGGCGACGGCGCGCGGGAGCGGCGGCGCCGCGGGCAGAGGCACGCCGCCGACGGCACCGGCAGCUGCAGCGACGCGCACCACGCCACGUACCGGUUCCUCGCCGCCCACGCCUACCACCGCUUCGUCUAGGUCGCCGCCCACGCCCACUCCUGUACUAAGUUUAAGCCUUCGGAGAGCUCUUACGCACUUCUUCUCGUUACCGGUCUAGGAGCGGAAGUUGCUCCACACUCCUCCUCGGACACCGACUCUGACGUAGUCCUGUCUAUGACGUUGGGUAGUGUCGCUCAAGGAGCCGGAGACAAUGCCGGCUACGUCGUCAAUGAGUCCUGUGGUAAGUACGGAGCGAAGGUGAAGAUGUAAAAGAAAGAGAUAAGAUCAAUGAAUACACUAAAUAAGUACAUCUUAGAGAUGAAAUACGGUUAUCGACGGACAUGGUAACAAGAUGAUAGACACACUACGACUUGUUGUACGAGAAUUAGACAACGAUUUAAGACACAUGAACACUGCAUCGACUGUACAUCUUAGAGAUGAAUUAUACGGUUAUCGACUGUACAUAAUACACGGUUAUACGGUUAACAACGACGACAUAAGACACAUGAACACUACAUGAGACAUCGACUGUACACCUUAGAGAUGAAUUAUACGGUUAUCGACUGUACAUCUUAGAGAUGAAUUAUACAAGAUGGUCAUAAUACACGAAAGAUAGGACGUUACAAUAGCCCCAUGACGUUAACAACGACGACAUAAGACUAAUGAACAACACUGACCAUAACUCUCUAAAACCACCAACGAAACUCAUAUAAAUUGAACCUCAAGAGGUCAUGAGGAUCUAAACGAUGAGUUUUUUUUAAACUCAUGAAAGUGACCUUUCCUCACUUUAUGAGGAGCAUGAACGUAUCCAAAUUUUUAAUGAACGCAUCCAAAUUUUUAUGAGGACCAUGAACACUACUUUGGUUGUUCGUUGAACGAUUGGAGAAAGUCACAAGUUAGUUUAAAAGUAAGAAUUUAAAAUCACAAGUUAAAGUCUAAUAUGUCUGACCUUCACAUACAACAAGAAAAAGAAAAAACUUGAUUUGAUCUUCAUCCUUAAGUAAAAUAUCCCAAUCACAACAUUUAACACCUACGAAGGAAAAACAAUAACCGAAUAACGAACGAACUAAACCCUGUAGAUGUUGACUUUAAUAAUACUACGGUAUAAAAAAUAUAAUGAGGUACGAGUGGUUCAAUAACUCAACUUCAACAGCAACAAACGACAGUUCUAAACGAAUCGGACUUAUGUACCAAUACAAAACACAUGACAACAGGACUACAACUCGACAAGUUAAAGUGACAACAUGACGAUAGUUCUAGGACGACAUGACGACAAGUCAAAGUCAAUUUAAAGUCAUGACAACCUCAUUUAAAGUGACAAGCUACUAACAUGAGGUCACAAGUUAAAGCGACAAGUUACUAACAUGAGGUCACAAGUUAAAGGACUAACUAAUUUAAAGUUACAAGUUAAAGUCACUUUUGUCAUGUACAUGGUCGCCGUCGUCGAGGACACCAUCGCCGCCAUCGUGGACCCGUCCGCACCUUGUCGGACCCGAACCUUACCGGACUCGCGCCCGGUCCUCCUCGGGGACGUACACCCGCCGUCGUCUCGUGCGGACCCGCCUCCGUCGCGGAUGAGAUGAAAGAACCGAUGAUGUCACUACGUACGUGGCCACUUCGUGCGUGUGUACGAACGGACCGGCGUACAUAGAAGUAACGACGCUUGUAGUAGAUCUACUGUUCGAUGUUCGAGGGUCGCGCAGACUAGGUCCCACGCAAUCCCGGUUGGACAAUGCCUUCUACCGGUACGAGUACUCGGGGAGACCUAGUUUUAUCCUACCGUUUAACACUGUCGACCUCGUACAGAGUAUUCUCUCUCGUUACUUUAGGUAACAUAACAAGGCAGUUUUCUUUUCAUGUAACAUGACAAUACUAUCAUCGUCUACAAAGCAGUAAAAGAAUAACAUAUAAGGGAAGCAAGGACGAUAUAAGGACACAUUCCUUUACAUAAGGACUCUACUAAAAAAACACAAUACAUUUGAACCCUCUACACAAUACACUACACUAUACUACCAACUGAACUUAAACUGGACCUCAAAAGGAUUAAACUUACUUUAUUACAACCUACAU